This is a long non-coding RNA of Arabidopsis lyrata subsp. lyrata, 218 nucleotides long. RefSeq lists it as uncharacterized. The record is from RefSeq and is a predicted model, not a curated record. The transcript is spliced from 3 exons. NCBI's taxonomy places the organism in Eukaryota, Viridiplantae, Streptophyta, Magnoliopsida, Brassicales, Brassicaceae.
UUUACAUAAACUUUGGUUCUUAAACAGAACAAGAAAGAGAGGCAAAAGGUAAGAGAGGUUGGAAUUUUGAAGAAGGAUCCUGAACAAAUCAAGGAACAGAUCAGGAAACUUGAUAUGUCUAAGGCGGAAGGUGCUUUGGACAAAGCAAGAAAACAUAAAAAGAGACAGCUUGAAGAUACUCUAAAAAUGGUGGUGAAGAAGAGAAAGGAAUAUGAUGA